UGUGAAGCUGUGUUGUUCUUUGAACCAAU
This 29-nucleotide non-coding RNA is filed under the name Rattus norvegicus (Norway rat). The record is from RNAcentral. Lineage: Eukaryota; Metazoa; Chordata; Mammalia; Rodentia; Muridae.